RNAcentral lists this ribosomal RNA (324 nucleotides) under uncultured Neisseria sp. Its description in RNAcentral is "bacterial SSU rRNA". It matches the Rfam family "Bacterial small subunit ribosomal RNA", at positions 8 to 328 of the family's 1533-position model. Lineage: Bacteria; Pseudomonadati; Pseudomonadota; Betaproteobacteria; Neisseriales; Neisseriaceae. The record is from RNAcentral.
AGAGUUUGAUCCUGGCUCAGAUUGAACGCUGGCGGCAUGCUUUACACAUGCAAGUCGGACGGCAGCACAGAGAAGCUUGCUUCUUGGGUGGCGAGUGGCGAACGGGUGAGUAACAUAUCGGAACGUACCGAGCAGUGGGGGAUAACUAAUCGAAAGAUUAGCUAAUACCGCAUAUAUUCUGAGGAAGAAAGCAGGGGACCAUUUGGCCUUGCGCUGUUUGAGCGGCCGAUAUCUGAUUAGCUGGUUGGUGGGGUAAAGGCCUACCAAGGCGACGAUCAGUAGCGGGUCUGAGAGGAUGAUCCGCCACACUGGGACUGAGACACG